CGAAAUCAGAGCAGCAGGUUGGUAGUUCCUGCGCCCGCCACGCGGGUUCGAUUUGCCGCGG
RNAcentral lists this non-coding RNA (61 nucleotides) under unclassified sequences. The record is from RNAcentral.